This 440-nucleotide ribosomal RNA is filed under the name uncultured bacterium. Its description in RNAcentral is "partial 16S ribosomal RNA". It matches the Rfam family "Bacterial small subunit ribosomal RNA", at positions 338 to 795 of the family's 1533-position model. The record is from RNAcentral.
CCUACGGGGGGCAGCAGUGGGGGAUAUUGCACAAUGGGGGGAACCCUGAUGCAGCGACGCCGCGUGGGUGAAGAAGCGCCUCGGCGCGUAAAGCCCUGUCAGCAGGGAAGAAAAUGACGGUACCUGAAGAAGAAGCCCCGGCUAACUACGUGCCAGCAGCCGCGGUAAUACGUAGGGGGCAAGCGUUAUCCGGAUUUACUGGGUGUAAAGGGGGCGCAGACGGCGAUGCAAGCCAGGAGUGAAAGCCGGGGGCCCAACCCCGGGACUGCUCUUGGAACUGCGUGGCUGGAGUGCAGGAGGGGCAGGCGGAAUUCUUGGUGUAGCGGUGAAAUGCGUAGAUAUCAGGAGGAACACCGGUGGCGAAGGCGGCCUGCUGGACUGCAACUGACGUUGAGGCCCGAAAGCGUGGGGAGCAAACAGGAUUAGAUACCCCUGUAGUC